AUGAUCGCGUUGCUCGAGCUGCCGUUGGAAGCUUAGAAGCAGGUGCUACCGUGCUAGAUACAAAGCGAUCUAUUUAAAAGCCCUCUGUCACGCACGCACACUUACUGACGAAUCCUCUGGCUCUCUCCUACCACCGCCCGGUGGCGGAUUCCGGAAUUGGUUCAAAAGGCCUUGAUCCCGAACACCCAGGACAGAGACAGAGUACUUUUCCUACCUCUUUCGCCUGCAUCCUUAGAAAACUCCCGUGGAUGAGAAGAUCCCCAGGCCUUUACAAGCUGUUGUUUUACAAAAGGAGAAACUGAGGCAGGAAGAGGCGGUGGAUGUGCACCAGGGCACGUGGUGCGUCGGUGCAUAGCUGAGGGCACAUGGAACAUUCACCAAGAUAAACCAUAUGCUGGAACAUAAAAUUUAUGGAUGUCGCCCAUGAAGCAGAGUCCUUCAGACCCUCAAUCAAAAACAAGUCUCAUUUUACAUUAAAUUGGAGGACUAUCUGGAGUCUCUGACCACCGUGUGACAGAAAAGAGAGCAGAAUUGUUGCAUGAUGGGUAACACUCAUCAGUAAUCGCUGUUUGCCAAGCCAUCUGGGAGGAGACCAAAGAGCUAUAAAAUAAGUUCAGGCACGGUGGUUCAUGCCUGUAAUCCCAGCACUUUGGGAGGCCGAGGUGGGUGAAUCACCUGAGGUCAGGAGUUCGAGAC
Molecule: long non-coding RNA, 696 nt
Filed under: Pan troglodytes (chimpanzee)
Lineage: Eukaryota; Metazoa; Chordata; Mammalia; Primates; Hominidae
Description: lincRNA
Source: RNAcentral